RNAcentral lists this ribosomal RNA (1629 nucleotides) under Escherichia coli. RNAcentral's name for it is "partial 23S ribosomal RNA". It matches the Rfam family "Bacterial large subunit ribosomal RNA", at positions 1318 to 2925 of the family's 2925-position model. Lineage: Bacteria; Pseudomonadati; Pseudomonadota; Gammaproteobacteria; Enterobacterales; Enterobacteriaceae. The record is from RNAcentral.
CGGGUGAAAAGCCCGCUCGCCGGAAGACCAAGGGUUCCUGUCCAACGUUAAUCGGGGCAGGGUGAGUCGACCCCUAAGGCGAGGCCGAAAGGCGUAGUCGAUGGGAAACAGGUUAAUAUUCCUGUACUUGGUGUUACUGCGAAGGGGGGACGGAGAAGGCUAUGUUGGCCGGGCGACGGUUGUCCCGGUUUAAGCGUGUAGGCUGGUUUUCCAGGCAAAUCCGGAAAAUCAAGGCUGAGGCGUGAUGACGAGGCACUACGGUGCUGAAGCGACAAAUGCCCUGCUUCCAGGAAAAGCCUCUAAGCAUCAGGUAACAUCAAAUCGUACCCCAAACCGACACAGGUGGUCAGGUAGAGAAUACCAAGGCGCUUGAGAGAACUCGGGUGAAGGAACUAGGCAAAAUGGUGCCGUAACUUCGGGAGAAGGCACGCUGAUAUGUAGGUGAAGCGACUUGCUCGUGGAGCUGAAAUCAGUCGAAGAUACCAGCUGGCUGCAACUGUUUAUUAAAAACACAGCACUGUGCAAACACGAAAGUGGACGUAUACGGUGUGACGCCUGCCCGGUGCCGGAAGGUUAAUUGAUGGGGUUAGCGGUAACGCGAAGCUCUUGAUCGAAGCCCCGGUAAACGGCGGCCGUAACUAUAACGGUCCUAAGGUAGCGAAAUUCCUUGUCGGGUAAGUUCCGACCUGCACGAAUGGCGUAAUGAUGGCCAGGCUGUCUCCACCCGAGACUCAGUGAAAUUGAACUCGCUGUGAAGAUGCAGUGUACCCGCGGCAAGACGGAAAGACCCCGUGAACCUUUACUAUAGCUUGACACUGAACAUUGAGCCUUGAUGUGUAGGAUAGGUGGGAGGCUUUGAAGUGUGGACGCCAGUCUGCAUGGAGCCGACCUUGAAAUACCACCCUUUAAUGUUUGAUGUUCUAACGUGGGCCCCUUACCGGGGUUGCGGACAGUGUCUGGUGGGUAGUUUGACUGGGGCGGUCUCCUCCUAAAGAGUAACGGAGGAGCACGAAGGUUGGCUAAUCCUGGUCGGACAUCAGGAGGUUAGUGCAAUGGCAUAAGCCAGCUUGACUGCGAGCGUGACGGCGCGAGCAGGUGCGAAAGCAGGUCAUAGUGAUCCGGUGGUUCUGAAUGGAAGGGCCAUCGCUCAACGGAUAAAAGGUACUCCGGGGAUAACAGGCUGAUACCGCCCAAGAGUUCAUAUCGACGGCGGUGUUUGGCACCUCGAUGUCGGCUCAUCACAUCCUGGGGCUGAAGUAGGUCCCAAGGGUAUGGCUGUUCGCCAUUUAAAGUGGUACGCGAGCUGGGUUUAGAACGUCGUGAGACAGUUCGGUCCCUAUCUGCCGUGGGCGCUGGAGAACUGAGGGGGGCUGCUCCUAGUACGAGAGGACCGGAGUGGACGCAUCACUGGUGUUCGGGUUGUCAUGCCAAUGGCACUGCCCGGUAGCUAAAUGCGGAAGAGAUAAGUGCUGAAAGCAUCUAAGCACGAAACUUGCCCCGAGAUGAGUUCUCCCUGACUCCUUGAGAGUCCUGAAGGAACGUUGAAGACGACGACGUUGAUAGGCCGGGUGUGUAAGCGCAGCGAUGCGUUGAGCUAACCGGUACUAAUGAACCGUGAGGCUUAACCUU